UGGACCUUCAACGGGGUACAACUGGCCUUUAGUAACUUCGUAAUUAAUCAUUCAGGACAGCCCCAAAUGUUCCUUUUAGCCUUAUUUUGCUUGAAUAAUGACACUGGAAUGCAAGGGGACACCACGGGAGUGGCCUCCACUUCCCAUUCUUUCCAUGCCCCCUGGGUCCCCUGAUACACAUCGGGCCAAGUAAAGCCCUGCCUAGGGAAUGGCAAGGGAGGACAGGGAGUCAAAUCUGUCUCUUGAAACCCCUGUUAGUAGAAUAAACAUUUUCAAACAUCUGAAUCAGUCUAGGUUAUUUUUUGUUUAAAGAUUUCUUUUCCUGGCCAGGUGCGGUGGCUCACGCCUAUAAUUUCAGCACUUUGGGAGGCUGAGGCGGGCGAAUCACCUGAGGUCAGGAGUUUGAGACCAGCCUGGCCAACAUCGUGAAACCCCGUCUCUACUAACAAUACAAAAAAAAUUAGCUGGGCAUGGUGGCACACACCUGUAAUCCCAGCCACUCGGGAGGCUGAGGCAGGAGAAUUGCUUGAGCCCGGGAGAUGGAGGUUGUAGUGAGCCAAGAUCAUACCACAGCACUCCAACCUGGCUAACAGAGUGAGAUUCUGUCUUUAAAAAAAAAAAAAAAAAAAUUUCCUUUGUUUCUGAAACAGGAUCUCACUCUGUCAUCCAGGCUGGAGUGCAGUGGUACAAUCUUGGCUCACUGCAGCCUCAACUUGUUACGCUCAAGCGAUCCUCCUACCUUAGCCUUCCAAGUAGCUGGGACUACAGGCAUAUACUACCAUGCCCAGCUAAAUUUUUAUUUUAUUUUUAUUUUUAUUUUUUUUUACUUUUAAGUUCUGGGAUACGUGUGCAGAGAGUGCAGGUUUGUCCAUGGUGGUUUGCUGCACCUAUCAACCUGUCAUCUAGGUUUUAAGCCCCGCAUGCAUCAGGUAUUUGUCCUAAUGCUCUCCCUACCCUUGCCCCCACCCCCUGACAUGCCCCACUAUAUGUUGUUCCCAUCCCUGUGUCCAUGUGUUCUCAUUGUUCAACUACCACUUAUGAGUGAGAAUAUGCGGUGUUUGGUUUUCUGUUCCUUUGUUAGUUUGCUGAUAAUGAUGGCUUCCAGCUUCAUCCAUGUCACUGCAAAGGAGAUGAUCUCACUAAUUUUUUAUUUUUUUGUAGAGAUGGGGUCUCACUAUGUUGCCCAGGCUGGUCUAAAAUUUGCUGGACUCAAGCGAUCCUCCUGCCUGGGCCUUCCAAAAUGGGACUACAGGCAUGAGCCACUGCAACGAGGAGGAGGCACUGACUUUCCUUCAUCUGUACUGUGGAUGCUGUGGUGUGCUUCCCAGACACCACUUCUCAUCUAAGGCUUGAAGAAUUCCUCCAGCAGUGGGAGUACUGGCAAUCAACAACUCUCAGCCAAGUCUCUCUUCUAGAAUUGCCCUUGGGUAAAGAGAACUGCCUAGCCCAAGGUCAUACCUCCUUCCAGGAGGCAAUUCGUAUCCAAAGACUUGUAAAUGCAGAGGCACAGAGGCCUAGCCUUAUGACUGCAAUUUGGGGCAACUCUGAAGGGUCAUCCCAACUCCAGAUCUCCUAAUAGGAUGGACUGAGGCCUUUGUUUUGACAGAAUCAUGAAGUUUGACUUUUCUCUCUAAACAAUCUUGGGUUUUUUCAUUCCCCCACAGGAGCUGAUCCUAAGAUUAUUUGCCAAUACAGUUCCUACAUGCAGAUCUCUGCCUCAGAAUUUGGUUCAUGGGGAACUCAACCGGAAAUAGCUGGCACCAGGAGUGUCUGAAAAUGAAAACUCUUAAGACAGGACUUUGGAAAUGGAUCAUUCACAGACCAAAUAUCAAUGAGGUCCCCAUCACUGGUAGUAGGUGGCACACAGACAGCAAAUAGUCCAUGGCAUGCAGUAGCCGUGCAAUUUUUAAAACUUUCACUAGCAGUGAACUUGGAUAGUCUACCAAUGGAAGGAAUGCACUUGUAGGUGCAAUGUAUCAGUCAUUUGAGAAAGACAGAGGAAAUACUAACUAUAAGGACUAUAAAAUUGGAUGCCUAUUGCGGAGGGCCAUUCAGUUCUGCAGAA
This 2065-nucleotide long non-coding RNA is filed under the name Papio anubis (olive baboon). Its description in RNAcentral is "lncRNA (ENSPANG00000042849.1)". The record is from RNAcentral. Lineage: Eukaryota; Metazoa; Chordata; Mammalia; Primates; Cercopithecidae.